RNAcentral lists this ribosomal RNA (468 nucleotides) under uncultured bacterium. Its description in RNAcentral is "partial 16S ribosomal RNA". It matches the Rfam family "Bacterial small subunit ribosomal RNA", at positions 28 to 507 of the family's 1533-position model. The record is from RNAcentral.
GACGAACGCUGGCGGCGUGCUUAACACAUGCAAGUCGAACGGAAAGGCCCUGCUUUUGUGGGGUGCUCGAGUGGCGAACGGGUGAGUAACACGUGAGUAACCUGCCCUUGACUUUGGGAUAACUUCAGGAAACUGGGGCUAAUACCGGAUAGGAGCUCCUGCUGCAUGGUGGGGGUUGGAAAGUUUCGGCGGUUGGGGAUGGACUCGCGGCUUAUCAGCUUGUUGGUGGGGUAGUGGCUUACCAAGGCUUUGACGGGUAGCCGGCCUGAGAGGGUGACCGGCCACAUGGGGAUUGAGAGCCGCCCACGACUCCUCCGGGGGGCAGCGGUGGGAAUUUUUGCACAAGGGGCGGAACCCUGCUGCAGCAACCCCGGGUGCGGGAUGACGGCCUUCGGUUUUAAACCCGCUUUCGCCUGUGACGAAGCGUGAGUGACGGUAAUGGAUAAAGAAGCCCCGGCUAACUACGUC